RNAcentral lists this long non-coding RNA (1423 nucleotides) under Sinocyclocheilus grahami. RNAcentral describes it as "lncRNA (ENSSGRG00000019504.1)". The record is from RNAcentral. Lineage: Eukaryota; Metazoa; Chordata; Actinopteri; Cypriniformes; Cyprinidae.
GUUUGUUUGUGUGUGUGUGUGUGUGUGUGUGUGUGUGUGUGUGUGUGUGUGUAGGGGAUGAGCAGUACACAGAGGGAGCUGAAGACCGGAUCCCUGCGCCGAGCAGCCCGUUCUUCCUCACCGACCCGGCACAGCUCUGGUACAAGACCUGCUCUCAUUCACUUUUUAUUGGUUGGUGGCAAUGAGCUUCCACAGUGCUCAGCCGUGUUGACUCUGAAUGUGCCGUGUGUUUGUGUGUCCUGCAGUGUGCCAGAGCUGGCUGAAGAGGGCGCUAGCGGCGUCCGCGGCCCUGUGCUGUUCCACCCAGCGCCCAACUGCAGGAUUAGAGAGGUGCAUUGUGGGAGUCAGGUCCGGCUCGUCGUCAUAGCCAUUCGAGACAUUGCCAAAGGAGAGGAGAUCACAGUGGACUACAGCCUGACCGACUGGGGAGAAAAUGCCAUGGGCUUUCAUACUUCGGUGUCCCCGCGCGGGUUUGAAUGUGGAUUCAACCCAGAGAGCAACAUCAAGAAGGAGGAGGAGCCGGGUUCACUCCCAAUGUCUCUCAGCGUUUCUGACUACCUCACUCCGUCAUGGUCCCUGUCUCCCUCCUCCUCUCCGCUGUCUCACUCCGAGGCCAGAGACUCUGACCGAGAGGAGGACGAAGAGGAGGAGGACGACGACGACGACGACGAUGAUGAUGACGACGAAGAUGAUCUGGAGGAUCUGCGGGGCCGCAUGAUGAGACGCCGCAAGAAACAGAAAACCUCGGCGACCAUCAAGAAGAAAGCCCAGCCCCGCCCCCUGUCCUUCACAUGCCCCGCCCCUUCCUCACCGACGCCCUUCCAGCAGCCUCUAGCCCCGCCCACCACCAACAUAAACAAUAACAUAAACAUAAACAUCGGCGCGAGCGGCGCGCUCUCCCGCAGACAGCACUGUCCCUACUGCGGCCGUCACUUCCGCUCGCUCGCUAGGCACCUGGAGAAACACCACGAGCAGCAGCCCGAGGUCCGAGCAGCCAUGGAGCUGUCGCACCCCCCCGCCUCCUCGCACCCCGUCACAUCUCCCUCUCAGCCCUCGCCCUCCCUGUUUCCCCGCGAGCGAGACGCUUCGUCUUCAGCGCCGAAGUCCGGAGGCGUCUCCUUCUCGCUCUCGCUGUCUCCGCCUCCUGCCUCCAAUACCGCAAAAAAGAGCUCAGCGACAGCGCCUAAAAACAAGAGCCCGGCCGUCUCGCCCAAGCCUCCCGCCAGGAGAGGACGGCCGCCGAAGAAAGAGAAAGAACAGCAGCAGAAGAAGCAGGAGGAGCCCGGGAAACAGGAGGAGGAGGUGGAGGAGGAGAAGAAUCAAGAAGACGGAGGCGCAGAGGAGAAGAACAGUGACGUGGCGAGGUGAGCUUGUCUUAGAACAUGCACUUUCUCUUCAAUCUUUAAUCUAUUUUUAAAUGUUA